Molecule: ribosomal RNA, 254 nt
Filed under: uncultured bacterium
Lineage: Bacteria
Description: partial 16S ribosomal RNA
Rfam family: Bacterial small subunit ribosomal RNA
Source: RNAcentral
UACGGGGGGAGCAAGCGUUGUUCGGAUUUACUGGGCGUAAAGGGCGCGUAGGCGGUCAGCACAAGUCAGUUGUGAAAUCUCCGAGCUUAACUCGGAAAGGUCAACUGAUACUGUGCGACUAGAGUGCAGAAGGGGCAACUGGAAUUCUCGGUGUAGCGGUGAAAUGCGUAGAUAUCGAGAGGAACACCUGCGGCGAAGGCGGGUUGCUGGGCUGACACUGACGCUGAGGCGCGAAAGCUAGGGUAGCAAACGGG